UACAGAGGGUGCAAGCGUUAAUCGGAUUUACUGGGCGUAAAGCGUGCGUAGGCGGUUCGCUAAGUCGGUUGUGAAAUCCCUGGGCUUAACCUGGGAACUGCAGUCGAUACUGGUGAACUAGAAUGCGGUAGAGGGUGGCGGAACUCCGGGUGUAGCGGUGAAAUGCGCAGAUAUCAGGAGGAACACCGGUGGCGAAGGCGGGUCUCUGGGCCGAUACUGACGCUGAGGAGCGAAAGCUAGGGGAGCAAACAGG
RNAcentral lists this ribosomal RNA (253 nucleotides) under uncultured bacterium. RNAcentral describes it as "partial 16S ribosomal RNA". It matches the Rfam family "Bacterial small subunit ribosomal RNA", at positions 524 to 776 of the family's 1533-position model. The record is from RNAcentral.